GAGCUAACGCGUUAAGUCGACCGCCUGGGGAGUACGGCCGCAAGGUUAAAACUCAAAUGAAUUGACGGGGGCCCGCACAAGCGGUGGAGCAUGUGGUUUAAUUCGAUGCAACGCGAAGAACCUUACCUACUCUUGACAUCCAGCGAACUUUCCAGAGAUGGCUUGGUGCCUUCGGGAACGCUGAGACAGGUGCUGCAUGGCUGUCGUCAGCUCGUGUUGUGAAAUGUUGGGUUAAGUCCCGCAACGAGCGCAACCCUUAUCCUUUGUUGCCAGCGAUUCGGUCGGGAACUCAAAGGAGACUGCCGGUGAUAAACCGGAGGAAGGUGGGGAUGACGUCAAGUCAUCAUGGCCCUUACGAGUAGGGCUACACACGUGCUACAAUGGCGCAUACAAAGAGAAGCGACCUCGCGAGAGCAAGCGGACCUCAUAAAGUGCGUCGUAGUCCGGAUCGGAGUCUGCAACUCGACUCCGUGAAGUCGGAAUCGCUAGUAAUCGUGGAUCAGAAUGCCACGGUGAAUACGUUCCCGGGCCUUGUACACACCGCCCGUCACACCAUGGGAGUGGGUUGCAAAAGAAGUAGGUAGCUUAACCUUCGGGAGGGCGCU
This 605-nucleotide ribosomal RNA is filed under the name Pantoea sp. Its description in RNAcentral is "bacterial SSU rRNA". It matches the Rfam family "Bacterial small subunit ribosomal RNA", at positions 848 to 1454 of the family's 1533-position model. The record is from RNAcentral. Lineage: Bacteria; Pseudomonadati; Pseudomonadota; Gammaproteobacteria; Enterobacterales; Erwiniaceae.